RNAcentral lists this ribosomal RNA (293 nucleotides) under uncultured bacterium. RNAcentral's name for it is "partial 16S ribosomal RNA". It matches the Rfam family "Bacterial small subunit ribosomal RNA", at positions 775 to 1067 of the family's 1533-position model. The record is from RNAcentral.
GGAUUAGAUACCCUGGUAGUCCACGCUGUAAACGAUGAAAACUAGAUGAUGGUAGGCUUGACCUAUUAGUAUCGAAGCUAACGCGAUAAGUUUUCCGCCUGGGGAGUACGGCCGCAAGGUUAAAACUCAAAGGAAUUGACGGGGGCCCGCACAAGCGGUGGAGCAUGUGGUUUAAUUCGAUGCAACGCGAAAAACCUUACCUACUCUUGACAUCUACGGAAUCUUGUAGAGAUAUGAGAGUGCCGAAAGGAACCGUAAGACAGGUGCUGCAUGGCUGUCGUCAGCUCGUGCCG